Molecule: non-coding RNA, 788 nt
Filed under: Simulium maculatum
Lineage: Eukaryota; Metazoa; Arthropoda; Insecta; Diptera; Simuliidae
Source: RNAcentral
AAUUUGUUUUAUUUUUGUUAUUAAUCUUAUUUAAUGUUUAUUUUACAUGUAAAUUUUUGUGAGAAUUGAUUUUUAUCUAAAAGAUAAAUAUUUUAAAAAUUAUUCGCAGUAAUUAAUAUUAUAAAUAAAAGUAAUUUUGAUUUAGUAAUAUAUUUUAGUAUUGGUAAAUUUUGUGCCAGCAACCGCGGUUAUACAAAUAAUGCAAAUAAGAUUUAUUAGUAAUAGUUAAUUUGUUUUUAAUAAAAUUAAUUUAAAUUUUUUAAGUGAAAUUUUAAAUUUAAUUAAUUUUAUAAUUUAUGUUGAUGAAGCUAAGAAAUUUUAAUUGUAAACUAGGAUUAGAUACCCUAUUAUUUAAAAAGUAAAUAUUAAUACUAGAGUAGUAAUAGAUAUGAUCUUCAAACUUAAAGAAUUUGGCGGUGUUUUAGUCUAUUUAGAGGAACCUGUCCUGUAAUCGAUAAUCCACGUUGGACCUUACUAAGAUUUGUAAUCAAUUUGUAUAUCGCCGUUAUCAGAAUAUCUUAAAAGAGAAAUAAUUUUCUUAAUUUAUAAAUAUAAUUGAUGUCAGGUCAAGGUGCAGUUUAUAUUUUAGUAGAGAUGGGUUACAAUAAAUUUAUUUAUACGUUAAAUUGUUUGAAAUAAUGAUUUUAAGGUGGAUUUAAAAGUAAAAUGAUGGAUAUAAUUUAUUUGAUUAUAGCUCUAAAACAUGCACACAUCGCCCGUCGCUCUCAUUAUUAAAAUGAGAUAAGUCGUAACAUAGUAGAAGUAUCGGAAGAUGCUUCUAGAAUGAC